UAGAGUUUGAUCAUGGCUCAGGACGAACGCUGGCGGCGUGCUUAACACAUGCAAGUCGAACGCUGAAGCUUGGUGCUUGCACUGGGUGGAUGAGUGGCGAACGGGUGAGUAAUACGUGAGUAACCUGCCCUUGACUCUGGGAUAAGCCUGGGAAACUGGGUCUAAUACUGGAUAUGACAUGUCACCGCAUGGUGGUGUGUGGAAAGGGUUUUACUGGUUUUGGAUGGGCUCACGGCCUAUCAGCUUGUUGGUGGGGUAAUGGCUCACCAAGGCGACGACGGGUAGCCGGCCUGAGAGGGUGACCGGCCACACUGGGACUGAGACACGGCCCAGACUCCUACGGGAGGCAGCAGUGGGGAAUAUUGCACAAUGGGCGGAAGCCUGAUGCAGCGACGCCGCGUGAGGGAUGACGGCCUUCGGGUUGUAAACCUCUUUCAGCACGGAAGAAGCGAAAGUGACGGUACGUGCAGAAGAAGCGCCGGCUAACUACGUGCCAGCAGCCGCGGUAAUACA
RNAcentral lists this ribosomal RNA (513 nucleotides) under bacterium enrichment culture clone BW003. RNAcentral's name for it is "bacterial SSU rRNA". It matches the Rfam family "Bacterial small subunit ribosomal RNA", at positions 1 to 527 of the family's 1533-position model. The record is from RNAcentral.